CCUACGGGUGGCAGCAGUGAUGAAUAUUGGUCAUUGGCCGGAAGGCUGAACCAGCCAAGUCGCGUGAGGGAAUAAGGCCCUAUGGGUCGUCAACCUCUUUUGUCAGGGAGCAAAGGCGUCCACGUAUGGACGAGAGGAGCGUACCUGAAGACAAAGCAUCGGCUAACUCCGUGCCAGCAGGCGCGGUACUACGGAGGAUGCGAGCGUUAUCCGGAUUUAUUUGGUUUAAAGGAUGCGUAGGCGGAGUGUCAAGUCAGCGGUAAAAUUUCGGGGCCCAACCCCGUCGUGCCGUUGAAACUGACGCCCUUGAGUGAGUGAGAAGUAAGCGGAAUGCGUGGUGUAGCGGUGAAAUGCAUAGAUAUCACGCAGAACUCCGAUUGCGAAGGCAGCAUACCGGCGCCCAACUGACGCUCAGGCACGAAAGCGUGGGUAUCGAACAGGAUUAGAUACCCGGGUAGUC
This 460-nucleotide ribosomal RNA is filed under the name uncultured bacterium. Its description in RNAcentral is "partial 16S ribosomal RNA". It matches the Rfam family "Bacterial small subunit ribosomal RNA", at positions 338 to 795 of the family's 1533-position model. The record is from RNAcentral.